RNAcentral lists this ribosomal RNA (523 nucleotides) under uncultured bacterium. Its description in RNAcentral is "partial 16S ribosomal RNA". It matches the Rfam family "Bacterial small subunit ribosomal RNA", at positions 28 to 523 of the family's 1533-position model. The record is from RNAcentral.
GACGAACGCUGGCGGCGUGCCUAAUACAUGCAAGUCGAACGCUUUUUCUUUCACCGGAGCUUGCUCCACCGAAAGAAAAAGAGUGGCGAACGGGUGAGUAACACGUGGGUAACCUGCCCAUCAGAAGGGGAUAACACUUGGAAACAGGUGCUAAUACCGGAUAACACUAUUUUCCGCAUGGAAGAAAGUGGAAAGGCGCUUUUGCGGCACUGAUGGAUGGACCCGCGGUGCAUUAGCUAGUUGGUGAGGUAACGGCUCACCAAGGCAACGAUGCAUAGCCGACCUGAGAGGGUGAUCGGCCACACUGGGACUGAGACACGGCCCAGACUCCUACGGGAGGCAGCAGUAGGGAAUCUUCGGCAAUGGACGAAAGUCUGACCGAGCAACGCCGCGUGAGUGAAGAAGGUUUUCGGAUCGUAAAACUCUGUUGUUAGAGAAGAACAAGGAUGAGAGUAAAAUGUUCAUCCCUUGACGGUAUCUAACCAGAAAGCCACGGCUAACUACGUGCCAGCAGCCGCCGUAA